AGAGUUUGAUCCUGGCUCAGGAUGAACGCUGACAGAAUGCUUAACACAUGCAAGUCUACUUGAAUUCACUUCGGUGAUAGUAAGGUGGCGGACGGGUGAGUAACACGUAAAGAACUUGCCUUGCAGUCUGGGACAACUAUUGGAAACGAUAGCUAAUACCGGAUAUUAUGCGUGAGUCGCAUGACUCAUGUAUGAAAGCUAUAUGCGCUGCGAGAGAGCUUUGCGUCCCAUUAGCUAGUUGGUGAGGUAACGGCUCACCAAGGCCACGAUGGGUAGCCGGCCUGAGAGGGUGAACGGCCACAAGGGGACUGAGACACGGCCCUUACUCCUACGGGAGGCAGCAGUGGGGAAUAUUGGACAAUGGACCAAAAGUCUGAUCCAGCAAUUCUGUGUGCACGAUGACGGUCUUAGGAUUGUAAAGUGCUUUCAAUUGGGAAGAAAAAAAUGACGGUACCAAUAGAAGAAGCGACGGCUAAAUACGUGCCAGCAGCCGCGGUAAUACGUAUGUCGCAAGCGUUAUCCGGAUUUAUUGGGCGUAAAGCGCGUCUAGGUGGUUUGGUAAGUCUGAUGUGAAAAUGCGGGGCUCAACUCCGUAUUGCGUUGGAAACUGCCUAACUAGAGUAUCGGAGAGGUGGGCGGAACUACAAGUGUAGAGGUGAAAUUCGUAGAUAUUUGUAGGAAUGCCGAUAGAGAAGUCAGCUCACUGGACGAAUACUGACACUGAAGCGCGAAAGCAUGGGGAGCAAACAGGAUUAGAUACCCUGGUAGUCCAUGCUGUAAACGAUGAUUACUAAGCGUCGGGGGUCGAACCUCGGCACUCAAGCUAACGCGAUAAGU
This 837-nucleotide ribosomal RNA is filed under the name gut metagenome. RNAcentral describes it as "bacterial SSU rRNA". It matches the Rfam family "Bacterial small subunit ribosomal RNA", at positions 8 to 865 of the family's 1533-position model. The record is from RNAcentral.